GGGGUGUAGCUCAGCUGGUUAGAGCGCUGGCCUGUCACGCCAGAGGCCGCGGGUUCGAGUCCCGUCACUCC
This 71-nucleotide transfer RNA is filed under the name marine eukaryotic metagenome. It matches the Rfam family "tRNA". Rfam says of the family: Transfer RNA (tRNA) molecules are approximately 80 nucleotides in length. The record is from RNAcentral.